AUUUAUAUAUAUGUUUACUCACAUAUAUAUUUAAUUUGUCUAUACCAUUUGGAAAUACAUUUUUUUUAAAUAAAAAAAAUUGUAUUUACUUAGAAGCAUUCAGAAUGUCAACAAAACAGCUGCAAUUUUUUUUUUGCAAUUACAGAGUGGUAUUCAGUUAACAGAACAAUUAUCUUCGUAUAAGCUGCAUCAGAGACAACUGAAGAUGAAAAAAAUAAAACCCAAAAAGAAAACCAAAAGAAAAAAAAAAAACCAAAAAACCAAACUACUGUCCUCAUAUAUAACUAAUUUGUGCUGUGCACCAACAAGAACCUGCUUUAAAUUUCCAUGCCAAUUUACAACCCCCAGACUGUACCAGGCAAGGUUAGUGGCUAUUGAAAAUACCACCAGGACAGGGCUAUCUAAAGACACAUUCGGUAGUGUGUUAACUAUACAAAAAAAGACACUGUACAGUUUAAAAACAAAUCUUACACAGCCUUACAUUUCAAUUUUUUGAUAAUCAGUUGAUACAAAAUUUGUUGGGGUAGGUUUCUCCAACAUCACCACUAUCAUAGCUGCACCCUAGUUCUACCUGUACUGCAGUGCACUAAAGAUCUCCCAUGACCAACCACAGCUGCUACAGACUCUCAGGCAAGUACAGAGACUAAUAGUUCCUGGAGACCAUCUGUUGUCUGCCUCAGUUAUCUCCGUUCCAAACAUGUAGCACAAGAAUAUCCUUGACCCCAGACUCUCAAGGUCACCUCCUCUGGGAAGCACAUCCCUCCGCACCUGCCCACAAACACAUGACAUCUUUUUCCAUCACACCUAUGUCUCCUGACCUUGGAGUCAAACUCAUUUUGACUUUGCACUUGUUACUGAAGCAUCUAUUGUCCCCUGAGAUCAAGGGUGCCCAAAUAAUAUGUUCGGACUAUGCAGCUCUUGAGGUCUAAAAGUUUCCACUGUCACCAGUUGAUUCUUGUGUUGAAGGUUUGCUCCCCAGCUGGUGGCGCUAGCUAGCUUGAGUUGGUAGAAAGUUUGGGAGCUGGGAUGGGAGGGUUGGUUGGGAAUGGACCACUGAGAUGUGCUUUUGAAGGCUGCCUUGUCCUGAGCCAUUUUAUCUCUAUUCCUCCCUCCUUCUCCUUCUCCUCUUCUUCAUCCCCUCUUUCUCUCUCUCCAUUUCCCUCUUCCCCCUCUCUCUUCUUGGAUGCCAAAAGAUGAAUACUUACAACAUGAUGUUCUUUUUUUCUUUAAAAGGAGUGAGUUGUGUACAGGGGGGUUAAAUGCUUUAUAGACAAGAAAAAAAAACUGCGCUAGAACCAACUUAUUCAUCAUCAUCUUCUUCAUCUUCAUCUUCCUCGUCUUCCUCCUCUUCCUCAUCCUCUUCAUCCUCCUCCUCAUCUUCCUCUUCCUUCUUUUUCUUGCUCUUUUCAGCCUUGACCACCCCCUUUUUCGCUGCAUCAGGUUUUCCUUUAGCUCUGUAGGCAGCAAUAUCCUUCUCAUACUUCUCCUUCAGCUUGGCAGCUUUCUUCUCAUAGGGCUGCUUGUCAUCUGCUGCAGUGUUGUUCCACAUCUCUCCUAGUUUCUUUGCAACAUCACCAAUGGAUAAGCCAGGAUGCUCGCCUUUGAUUUUGGGGCGGUACUCAGAACAGAACAAGAAGUCUUGUCUCAGUCUCAGUCGAAAGAGGCCUAUUACUGGAGAAUUCUUCUUCAACAAUUAUAACCUGACUGUGCGUCAAAGAAUUCCUGUGGGAGACGAGUCCUUCAAGUCGUGGUAAAUGUGGGAAAGCCUUCAGAGUUCAUUAAGUACAGGGAUCCUUCAGUGUUCUCUGUGCUUUCAUGAAGCAUGAAAGGACCCAUAUGGGGGAUGCUGACUGUGAUGUGUCCAUUCUGGGAAGUCCACCAGCCUCCGUUCUUUCUUUGUUUUUCACCAUAGGACUCAUACUGGAGAAGAGCUGUGCAGAUGUAAUGUGUAUGAAAAGCAUUCCCCUGGAGUCUCCUGCCUUAUUAUGCAUCUGAGAAUUCACAUAGGACAAAAUGUGUGGAGUGUGGAAUGGCUUUCAUUGGUGGCUCAUACCUUAUUAAGUAUAGAAUUCACAUUGGAGAGAGACUGGGAAGUGGGUAGAGUUGGAAAAAUCCUUCAAUGGCAGUGGUCACCUCAUUGCAUGUUAAGGAAAACAAACAAACAAAAAAACCAAAAGCAACCAAAAUCCUUAACAGAAAGAAGUCCCUCAUGUACAAAGAGUGCCUCUGCCAGGCAUCAGAGGAUUCAUACUGCCUCUGCUGGAAGCCUGGUGGAGUUUUAACUACUGUGGCAAAGCCUUCAGGAAGAGCCCCUCCCUGACCAAGCAGCAGGAGUCACUAUGCAUGAGGUCUUUUGCUAGGUGUUCCAACAGGAGAAAUUUUCAGUGCACCAUUUUCCCAGGUUAAAUACAGAGACGUCACACUGUAGCAAUUUCUGGGAGACUCAGUGAACAGGAGUGGCAGUGACUAUCAGCAUCUCUUUAGUUACUGUUAAAAUUUAUACUCAAGUGUAGUUUGAAAACAUAGCAACUCACCAUCUAGUCCAUGGAAUAUAACCCAUGAGACAUUAUAUCUCUAAUAAACUGGAAUUAUUUUGCUCCUGUACAACAGACUGAAAAUGAACCUUAGAAACAUAAUGAAUUAAAACCAUCUGAGUUUACUCUUCACUAAAUCUAAGACCAGGAAAAAUUUGAAUGCUGGUGACAGGAUCGAGAGAAGAGGAAGCCUUUAUUCUUACUACGUUUCUUUCUUAUAUCCAGAUGUUUUAAGGAUGUGCUUGUAGUUCAGUGGCAAGGAGGGCUUUCCUAGCACUUGUGAAGCCCUCACUUCAACCCUAAGCACCACUGAAUAAAAACAUAGGAGACCAUUUGAAUUGGAGCCCUGGCUUUGUUUCCCCAUCAGUGGACUCAGUUAACACAAUCAAUGGAAGGGUUAGAAAUAUCUGCUGGGAUGCUUCUGUUUGAAGGAUGCACUUGGAACUAACCUAUACUACAAUAAUGUGGAGAACCCUGUUAAGAUGCUUUUCUUGUGUUUUAAGAAAACUCAGUGGGUCUGGAGCGAUGACUCAGUGGUUAAGAGUGCUUGCUGCUCUUCCAGAGGACCUGAGUUUGGUUCCCACCACCCACAUUCACAAUCACUUUUGACUCCCUUUCCAGGGUAUCCAACUCUCUUUCAACAUCUGUCAACACUCAGGUAUACACAUGCACCCUCCCAACACACACAUGCAUGCACACACACCGUCACACACAUACUGUGCACACAUGCAUUUGAAGUAAGUAAAAAUCAAUUUUAUAAACUCUCACACUAGAAACAGAAGACAUUCUAUACUGUGUGGAAAGCUUUCAGAGAGCUGAUCUUUCAUAGUUGCUUUAUUUGAUGGAAAUAAAGCAUUAACCACACAUGAAACUUGAAGUUCUCUAAUAUUUACAUGAGAGAAAGAAAG
RNAcentral lists this long non-coding RNA (3442 nucleotides) under Mus musculus (house mouse). Its description in RNAcentral is "predicted gene, 70830". Lineage: Eukaryota; Metazoa; Chordata; Mammalia; Rodentia; Muridae. The record is from RNAcentral.